This 417-nucleotide ribosomal RNA is filed under the name Hesionidae sp. 182-Ifr-0682. Its description in RNAcentral is "partial 16S ribosomal RNA". It matches the Rfam family "Bacterial large subunit ribosomal RNA", at positions 1958 to 2591 of the family's 2925-position model. Lineage: Eukaryota; Metazoa; Annelida; Polychaeta; Phyllodocida; Hesionidae. The record is from RNAcentral.
AGCAUAAUCACUUGCCUUUUAAUUGUAGGCCAGUAUGAAUGGAUAAACGAGAGACCCCCUGUCUCAUUGAAACAAACAAAAACUAAUACUCAGGUGAAGAAGCCUGAAUAAACCUAAAAGACAAGAAGACCCUAUAGAGUUUUACUUCAAAAUAAAAAUUUAUAGGUAAUAACACUAAAAUAAAUACUACAAAGUUUAGUUGGGGCGACUAAGGGAUAUAAAAACCUCCCUUUUCAUAAAGAAAAUAAUUCACUAUAUAUGAUCCUACAAAGACCCAAUAAAAUAACAUUACCUUAGGGAUAACAGGCUAAUCUCUCCAGAGAGCCCAAAUUGACGGAGAGGAUUGGCACCUCGAUGUUGGCUUAAGACAACUCCUAAAUGUAGCAGUUUAGAUAAGUUGGUUUGUUCAACCAUUAA